Long non-coding RNA from Mastomys coucha (southern multimammate mouse), 520 nucleotides. RefSeq lists it as uncharacterized. Lineage: Eukaryota; Metazoa; Chordata; Mammalia; Rodentia; Muridae. The transcript has 3 exons. The record is from RefSeq and is a predicted model, not a curated record.
UCUUUUCUUCCUUAAUAAACUCUCUGGGUUUCUCUCCCCAUCCAUGUGUCCCUGAUCCAAUUCCUUUAUCCAGGACACAGGAACCUUGGAAGUCCCAGCAGGUGCUGUCCGGACUCCGAUAGACACCUAACAGCAUCUCUGAAGCAGCUGCCUUUAUCGCUAUGGCGUCUCUAAUGAACAGCAAACGCGUGAGCAGAUUAGCAGUGGAGAAAGGUUUUCAUUAGUCCUCCAUCCCUUCUCUUCUAUGAGGAAUGUUAAUUUCUACGAGAAAUAUAUCAUUCUCUAAUCCAAACAGCAAAAAGAGAGAAACAGAAUGCAGGGGAAAAAAGGAGUAAAGAGAAAUAAAAGGGAAAAAUAAUAAAUUGGUCAUUAAACCGAAAAAGAUGCACAAGACACAAGAGAGAGGAGCAAAACUGCGCAUGUACCGCAUGGGGCUGAGGUGCAGAUGAGGGGAAAAGCAUGGGGCCUUAUCCAGGCUCCAAGAAUGAAGGAAAAGUUGUAUACCAAGGAAGAAUGCACA